AGUCGAACGGACUUAACCGAAAUAUUUAUAUUUUGGAGCGGUUAGUGGCGGACUGGUGAGUAACGCGUAAGCAAUCUGCCUAUUAGAGGGGAAUAACAGUGAGAAAUCACUGCUAAUACCGCAUAUGCCAUGAACAUCGCAUGAUGAAAAUGGGAAAGGAGUAAUCCGCUAAUAGAUGAGCUUGCGUCUGAUUAACUAGUUGGUGUGGUAAUGGCAUACCAAGGUAACGAUCAGUAGCCGGACUGAGAGGUUGAACGGCCACAUUGGGACUGAGAUACGGCCCAGACUCCUACGGGAGGCAGCAGUCGGGAAUAUUGCGCAAUGGAGGAAACUCUGACGCAGUGACGCCGCGUAUAGGAUGAAGGUUUUCGGAUUGUAAACUAUUGUCAUUAGGGAAGAUAAAAGACAGUACCUAAGGAGGAAGCUCCGGCUAACUACGUGCCAGCAGCCGCGGUAAUACGUAGGGAGCAAGCGUUAUCCGGAUUUAUUGGGUGUAAAGGGUGCGUAGACGGGAGAUUAAGUUAGUUGUGAAAGCCCUUGGCUUAACUGAGGAAUUGCAACUAAAACUGGUUUUCUUGAGUGCAGGAGAGGUAAGUGGAAUUCCUAGUGUAGCGGUGAAAUGCGUAGAUAUUAGGAGGAACACCAGUGGCGAAGGCGACUUACUGGACUGUAACUGACGUUGAGGCACGAAAGUGUGGG
Molecule: ribosomal RNA, 699 nt
Filed under: uncultured bacterium
Lineage: Bacteria
Description: bacterial SSU rRNA
Rfam family: Bacterial small subunit ribosomal RNA
Source: RNAcentral